RNAcentral lists this ribosomal RNA (469 nucleotides) under uncultured bacterium. Its description in RNAcentral is "partial 16S ribosomal RNA". It matches the Rfam family "Bacterial small subunit ribosomal RNA", at positions 28 to 507 of the family's 1533-position model. The record is from RNAcentral.
GACGAACGCUGGCGGCGUGCUUAACACAUGCAAGUCGAACGGAAAGGCCCUGCUUGCAGGGUGCUCGAGUGGCGAACGGGUGAGUAACACGUGGGUGAUCUGCCCCUUACUUUGGGAUAAGCCUGGGAAACUGGGUCUAAUACUGGAUAGGACCAUGCUGUAGGUGGUGUGGUGGAAAGAUUAGUUUCGGUAAGGGAUGAGCUCGCGGCCUAUCAGCUUGUUGGUGGGGUAAUGGCCUACCAAGGCGUCGACGGGUAGCCGGCCUGAGGGGGUGGACGGCCACAUUGGGACUGAGAUACGGCCCAGACUCCUACGGGAGGCAGCAGUGGGGAAUAUUGCACAAUGGGCGCAAGCCUGAUGAAGCGACGCCGCGUGGGGGAUGACGGCCUUCGGGUUGUAAACUCCUUUCAGCCAUGACGAAGCCCUUGUGGUGACGGUAGUGGUAGAAGAAGCACCGGCUAACUACGUG